RNAcentral lists this small RNA (131 nucleotides) under Cloacibacterium normanense. RNAcentral's name for it is "Flavo-1 RNA". It matches the Rfam family "Flavo-1 RNA". Lineage: Bacteria; Pseudomonadati; Bacteroidota; Flavobacteriia; Flavobacteriales; Weeksellaceae. The record is from Rfam by way of RNAcentral.
UUUUAGCCACGAUGGUAGUGGAAAUCCUUUUUUAAAAUUUUUGUAAGGUUACCCUUUUUGCGUUUGAACGCAGAAAGGGUUGUGUGCUGGCAAAAUUUUUAAAAAGAUUGCAACGGACAGCGUGUAGAAAA